UCACAAUGCCAACGACGGCCCGUUUGAGGUCAGUCGUUUCGUAAUACCUCUUCGAGCACAUGGAGAGCAUCUUCGUUCCCCAAACCGAACUCGAACUCGAACUCCUCGAGUCCUAACGAGCGAGUGAAGAUCCGAAUCGAGUCAACAAUGUCGAAAUCGUUCUCCGACCUCCAUCACCUUCUCAUUCAGUUAUCGGAGCCAAUAACGGAGUCGCUCUCCAAAAUCCAAUACACUCCACCAGAGGGCUCCUACAUUUCUGUCAAAGCCCUAAUCGAACCCCUCCUCCCGCACAAAGCCUCCCUGCCAAACCCUAGCAUCGCCGAGGACCAAAUUCAUGCUUUAAUAAGAGAUUUUUCCUUAGCUUGCGCCUUGAUAUCCUCCUCCCAGUCCUCGACCCACGAAAUCCUCUCGUGGAUUCCCCAGCACCUGUCGGUCUCUGCAAACUCUUCCUUUCGCAAGCUCUCCGAAGCAUACUGUGGCGUUUUUGGCGAAACAAAUGCAAAGAGGAUCGUUGAGUUGGGUGUGGAUAUUGGUUCGAUUCCUGAAGAUAGGAGACUUGUGGUGGAAUUGAUCCCGGAGGUGCUGCCAUUGUUGAAGGAGAGGAUUAAGGAGAGCUCGAUAGAUAAGUCGGACGAGAGCCACGAGGUCUCGGCCGCGUCGGCUCGGGUUCCGGUAGGGCUCGCCAUCGUAGCAGCUUAUCAGUUUAGAUGGUUUGUCACUCAGGUUGGUUAUCCUUCUUUGGGACAACUGUGCGCUUUGGUGAUUCCUUGUGCAUUGACUGCGCUUGAUCACUGGUCAGCGGAGGUGAAAGGCCAGGGCAUGAUUAGCCUUACACAUCUUGCAAAAAAUGUUGAUGCCAUGGAUCUGGGCGGGUAUGAGGAUGUGAUUCUUGAUGCAUGCUGCCAGAAUAUUGCUUCUAGUGAUGAUAUAUGGCAUCAUGUAGUUGAGAUGUCAACACUUCUUGUGACUUGUACUCAGAGGGGCAACCCUCGUAGCCCAUGGUUUGAAAGGAUGUUGAAUGAGAUGUUAAGUCACUUGGAGCGGCAGCCAAGGAACAAGGAGCGUCGGAUUGCAUGGCUCAAAUAUAUUGAGCCACUUUUAAGUAGUGUUGGUCUUGUGUUAUUAGCUCAUUUUAGGCGUAUUUUUCCCCUUUUCCUUAAGUGGAUGCAUGCCGAUGAUGAUGAGACUGUUCUACUGGUUCUGGAAAGGAUCCAAACUAUCUUAAGGUUAACAUGGAUAAGGAACACACCAUAUGUUGGAAGGUAAACUGCUAGGUUGGUCGAUGAACUCACUAUGUUGUAUAAAGAGGCAGCAUUGAAGAGGACUCGCGAAGAAGUUAGAGCACAAAUUGUUCAGAUAUUGAUCUUACUCCAACAAUGUAAAGGUAUGCAAUUCGAAGCAGCCUGGGGCAAGCACAAGGAUGAUCCAAACUUGACAAAUCUUGAGGCAUCACUAAGUAGAAAAGACACAGCGACGGUCAUUCAAUGAUCUUUCGGAAGCAGACGGAAUGCGCUAUUGCUUAAGAUAUGGUGUAAAUAGCUUAUUUUGGGAUCUGUAUUCUGUGUACAUGUAAUUAUGAGCACUAUAUAACUUUCCUUAUUUUAUGUAUGGUGUUGCCGUAUUCCUCGAGCAUAA
RNA transcript from Juglans regia (Persian walnut), 1635 nucleotides. RefSeq lists it as uncharacterized. Lineage: Eukaryota; Viridiplantae; Streptophyta; Magnoliopsida; Fagales; Juglandaceae. The record is from RefSeq and is a predicted model, not a curated record. The transcript has 9 exons.